This 1388-nucleotide ribosomal RNA is filed under the name uncultured bacterium. Its description in RNAcentral is "bacterial SSU rRNA". It matches the Rfam family "Bacterial small subunit ribosomal RNA". The record is from RNAcentral.
UUUGAUCCUGGCUCAGAUUGAACGCUGGCGGCAGGCCUAACACAUGCAAGUCGAACGGCAGCACAGAAGAGCUUGCUCUUUGGGUGGCGAGUGGCGGACGGGUGAGUAAUGUCUGGGAAACUGCCCGAUGGAGGGGGAUAACUACUGGAAACGGUAGCUAAUACCGCAUAACGUCGCAAGACCAAAGUGGGGGACCUUCGGGCCUCACACCAUCGGAUGUGCCCAGAUGGGAUUAGCUAGUAGGUGGGGUAAUGGCUCACCUAGGCGACGAUCCCUAGCUGGUCUGAGAGGAUGACCAGCCACACUGGAACUGAGACACGGUCCAGACUCCUACGGGAGGCAGCAGUGGGGAAUAUUGCACAAUGGGCGCAAGCCUGAUGCAGCCAUGCCGCGUGUAUGAAGAAGGCCUUCGGGUUGUAAAGUACUUUCAGCGGGGAGGAAGGCGGUGAGGUUAAUAACCUCGCCGAUUGACGUUACCCGCAGAAGAAGCACCGGCUAACUCCGUGCCAGCAGCCGCGGUAAUACGGGAGGGUGCAAGCGUUAAUCGGAAUUACUGGGCGUAAAGCGCACGCAGGCGGUCUGUUAAGUCAGAUGUGAAAUCCCCGGGCUUAAACCUGGGAACUGCAUUUGAAACUGGCAGGCUUGGAGUCUCGUAGAGGGGGUAGAUUCCAGUGGUAGCCGUUGAAAUGCGUAAAGAUCUGAGAUACCGUGGCCAAGCGCCCCCUGACGAAGACUGACGCUCAGGUGGCGAAAGCGUGGGAGCAAACAGGAUUAGAUACCUGGUAGUCACGCGUAAACGAUGUCGACUUGGAGGUUGUGCCCUUGAGGCGUGGCUUCCGGGAGCUAACGCGUUAAGUCGACCGCCUGGGGAGUACGGCCGCAAGGUUAAAACUCAAAUGAAUUGACGGGGGCCCGCACAAGCGGUGGAGCAUGUGGUUUAAUUCGAUGCAACGCGAAGAACCUUACCUGGCCUUGACAUCCAGAGAACUUAGCAGAGAUGCUUUGGUGCCUUCGGGAACUCUGAGACAGGUGCUGCAUGGCUGUCGUCAGCUCGUGUUGUGAAAUGUUGGGUUAAGUCCCGCAACGAGCGCAACCCUUAUCCUUUGUUGCCAGCGGUUCGGCCGGGAACUCAAAGGAGACUGCCGGUGAUAAACCGGAGGAAGGUGGGGAUGACGUCAAGUCAUCAUGGCCCUUACGGCCAGGGCUACACACGUGCUACAAUGGCGCAUACAAAGAGAAGCGACCUCGCGAGAGCAAGCGGACCUCAUAAAGUGCGUCGUAGUCCGGAUUGGAGUCUGCAACUCGACUCCAUGAAGUCGGAAUCGCUAGUAAUCGUAGAUCAGAAUGCUACGGUGAAUACGUUCCCGGGCCUUGUACACACCGCCCGU